Pocillopora verrucosa is the source of this 439-nucleotide long non-coding RNA. RefSeq lists it as uncharacterized. NCBI's taxonomy places the organism in Eukaryota, Metazoa, Cnidaria, Anthozoa, Scleractinia, Pocilloporidae. The record is from RefSeq and is a predicted model, not a curated record.
GACAUUUUUAAUGCGGGAAUUAUCAGUUAUCGGAUAUCGCAGCUAAGAGAUGGACCUCUCUCUUAUGGUCUCUCCGCUUUCCUUCCAAAUCUGAGCAGUUAACACGUGCGACGACUUCAGAGCAUUCAACCUCGGAGAAACAACGCUAAUAGGCGCAAGAAAAUUCUGGUAGAAUUGUUUGACCAUUGGAGAUUGGUAAUUGGAGGAAACAUAAACUCAUGGUUGAUGACUGCAACAUUGGUGUCAACAGCAAGUUUUUUUUACCUUCCCCAGCUCUGUGGUGAUAACCUGCCUGUUUUAGUGGGCCGUAAAUUUUCACUCAUCAGCAUGUCCAUGGUAUUAGUACCCAAAGCACAACAGCAGUCUGACUACGUUCUCUUCAAUGUAGAACAUCCUAGAUCACAAGCAGCACUUGCCAAAGGAUACAUGGAUGGUAAAU